Molecule: ribosomal RNA, 515 nt
Filed under: uncultured bacterium
Lineage: Bacteria
Description: bacterial SSU rRNA
Rfam family: Bacterial small subunit ribosomal RNA
Source: RNAcentral
UAGUCCACGCCGUAAACGAUGUCAACUAGCCGUUGGGUCCAUUUAAGGGCUUAGUGGCGCAGCUAACGCGAUAAGUUGACCGCCUGGGGAGUACGCCGGCAACGGUAAAACUCAAAUGAAUUGACGGGGGCCCGCACAAGCGGUGGAGCAUGUGGUUUAAUUCGAUGCAACGCGAAAAACCUUACCUACCCUUGACAUCCUCAGAACUUGUUAGAGAUAACUUGGUGCCUUCGGGAACCGAGUGACAGGUGCUGCAUGGCUGUCGUCAGCUCGUGUCGUGAGAUGUUGGGUUAAGUCCCGCAACGAGCGCAACCCUUGUCCCUAGUUGCCAGCACAUAAUGGUGGGAACUCUAGGGAGACUGCCGGUGACAAACCGGAGGAAGGUGAGGAUGACGUCAAGUCAGCAUGCCCCUUACGUUCUGGGCUACACACGUGCUACAAUGGGUAUGACAACGAGUUGCUAAAUUGUGAAGUCAAGCUAAUCUUUAAACAUUACUCUCAGUUCGGAUUGUAGG